AAUCCAUAGCAGGAGAAGGAUGUUCUGAGGAGAUCUACUCAUCCAUGAAGGAAGAAGCAGCCAAAGCUCUCACAGGGACAUCAGGACUUCUUUGACGGUUGAGCUGGCCAACAUUGGAAGGGGUUGGUUCACAAGACUUUUCCACUAGGACAUUAGGAAAUUAUGCCCUGGAAUGUCCUUCAGUGCCUAGAGCCCUCUCACAUUGGAAUAUGAAUUGGUCCCUGUGACCUUCCCACCCUAGAAAAUUCCUCCACCAUGCUGGCCAUUUUUUCUCCACUAGAGGAUUUCCAUUUUGGGGGAAGAACCUAAACAGACAUCUAAAAGGGCUGUUGAAACUGCUGCUACAAAGAGAUUUAGAAAGAGGAGUCACCAAUUCUUCUCAUAACUAUCUAUUGAAGAGAGAAAGAUUUGCAAUCUCUGUUAGGCGGCAGAGUGGAUAGAGUGUCGGACCUGGAGUCAGAAAGACCCAAGUUCAAAUCUGACUUCAGACACUUACUAGCUGUGUGACCCUGGAUAAGUCAUUUAAUCCAUCUGAGUGAAUGAAUAAAAAACUGAAGAACUGUGGA
RNAcentral lists this long non-coding RNA (566 nucleotides) under Monodelphis domestica (gray short-tailed opossum). RNAcentral's name for it is "lncRNA (ENSMODG00000044529.1)". Lineage: Eukaryota; Metazoa; Chordata; Mammalia; Didelphimorphia; Didelphidae. The record is from RNAcentral.